Molecule: non-coding RNA, 27 nt
Filed under: Cricetulus griseus (Chinese hamster)
Lineage: Eukaryota; Metazoa; Chordata; Mammalia; Rodentia; Cricetidae
Source: RNAcentral
GUCGGAAGGUUGUGCAGAUUCAUUUAA